This 253-nucleotide ribosomal RNA is filed under the name uncultured bacterium. RNAcentral's name for it is "partial 16S ribosomal RNA". It matches the Rfam family "Bacterial small subunit ribosomal RNA", at positions 524 to 776 of the family's 1533-position model. The record is from RNAcentral.
UACGAGGGGGGCAAGCGUUGUUCGGAAUUAUUGGGCGUAGAGGGCGCGUAGGCGGUUUGACAAGUCUGAUGUGAAAUCUAUGGGCUCAACCCAUAGCCUGCAUUAGAAACUGUCGGGCUUGAGUAUGGGAGAGGUGAGUGGAAUUUCCGGUGUAGCGGUGAAAUGCGUAGAUAUCGGAAGGAACACCUGUGGCGAAAGCGGCUCACUGGACCAUAACUGACGCUGAGGCGCGAAAGCUAGGGGAGCAAACAGG